GACGAACCGAGCGAACGUUAUUCGGAAUCACUGGGCUUAAAGGGCGCGUAGGCGGGCCAUCAAGUCAGGGGUGAAAGCCCCCAGCUCAACUGGGGAAGUGCCUCUGAUACUGGUGGCCUCGAGGGAGGUAGGGGCGUGCGGAACUUCCGGUGGAGCGGUGAAAUGCGUAGAUAUCGUAAGGAAGACCAGUGGCGAAGGCGGGUCUCUGGACAGUUCCUGACGCUGAGGCACGAAGGUCAGGGGAGCAAACGGG
RNAcentral lists this ribosomal RNA (253 nucleotides) under uncultured bacterium. RNAcentral describes it as "partial 16S ribosomal RNA". It matches the Rfam family "Bacterial small subunit ribosomal RNA", at positions 524 to 776 of the family's 1533-position model. The record is from RNAcentral.